CAGGCACCUCGGUAGGUGAGGCGUCUGCACGGAUACAGGCCACUGACCCCGAACGUCGAGAGACGCCCCGGGUCAGGACAGCUCUUCCCGGACCCAAGGGUUGAGCCCAAGUGGCUUCCGGAUCGCGACCGUCGGCUAAAUCCGGAUACGCCGUGCAGUGCCAAAGCUCCGAACGAGAGGGGUGCCAU
This 188-nucleotide small RNA is filed under the name Mycobacterium sp. Its description in RNAcentral is "Magnesium sequence". It matches the Rfam family "M-box riboswitch aptamer (ykoK leader)". From Rfam's summary of the family: M-box riboswitch, also know as ykoK leader is described as a metaloregulatory RNA that sense divalent metals and function as a genetic control element of genes related to divalent metal transport in bacteria. It was first reported upstream of the B.subtilis ykoK gene and genes with related functions in other bacteria. Phylogenetic analysis of the distribution of M-box RNAs across bacterial genomes revealed that M-box riboswitches are most often employed for the regulation of Mg2+ transporter genes Lineage: Bacteria; Bacillati; Actinomycetota; Actinomycetes; Mycobacteriales; Mycobacteriaceae. The record is from RNAcentral.